This 514-nucleotide long non-coding RNA is filed under the name Cavia porcellus (domestic guinea pig). RNAcentral describes it as "lncRNA (ENSCPOG00000038157.1)". Lineage: Eukaryota; Metazoa; Chordata; Mammalia; Rodentia; Caviidae. The record is from RNAcentral.
GCGGUUUCAUUUUGCUUGGCAAAGUCGGGGGGGGGGGUUCCCCAACGUGCAGGGGAUGUCCCUGUGCUCACCUCGGUUCCUCGCGACAGCCCGGAUCCGAGCAAGGACGGCACGGCCAGGGUCACAGCUCCCGGCGGCGUGCGACCAGGCUGCAGGCCGACGAGGGCGGGCGUCUCGGACCGCAAGGACCCCUGCCGGCGGGGACGCCUCGCGAGACAGCCCCGGGUUUCCAGGCGCAGGAAGUGCGAUUGGCGCCGAGGUGCUGGGGGAGCUCAGCCGCUGCCCUCCCUGCGAAGCCAGGGUCGCACCAGCUCGCAGGAGGGCGCCGGGACCGGGACGCUUGAACGGUGUAGGCGUCCUUUGCCCGGAUCUGUCUACGGGUGAUGACAGCAGAAUGCGACCCUUGGAGCGGCGCUUCAGUGAGACUCCUUGUACCUCCUAUCGUGUGAAGUGACCAUGAAGAGACAGUUCCUCACCAGGCACCCAGCUACCGGUGGACUGACCUCAAUCUCCA